This is a long non-coding RNA of Dermochelys coriacea (leatherback sea turtle), 2578 nucleotides long. RefSeq lists it as uncharacterized. NCBI's taxonomy places the organism in Eukaryota, Metazoa, Chordata, Testudines, Dermochelyidae. The transcript is spliced from 3 exons. The record is from RefSeq and is a predicted model, not a curated record.
UAGAUGGGGAAGGGAUUUGGACAAGUGAGAAGGAGCAGAAAGGAGGGGCGAUUGUGUAAAUUUAAGAGUGCCAGUGGGCCAUGUCCCAUUUUUUAUGGGAUACACUCAAUAUGCACACAAAGGAUUUCCCCUCAUGAACAUGUAAUGUUCCCGUAGAGGGUAAUAACAUGUCCUUUUUGUGUGUGGGAUGUAUUUCCAAUAGAUGAUGAAAAUUUAGCUCUCUCCUUGUAUGCAGUGCAUUAGCAGGGACAUCCAGCAGAUGUGCAUGUCUUGCCAAUGGGCUGGCACUCGUAUAACUGAGACCAAGAUCUGCCUUGCUAUGUAGGAUUUCUAUAAUCGUAUGUCAUCAGGGAGUAAGCCAUUCCUAGGAACCCUCUUAUAUCAGACCUUUAGAAUGGGGAAUGUAGGGGUUUAACAUGGAGACCCCUUUAGAGCUGAAGCCCAUUCUGGACCAUUAGGGUACCCAGACAGAAAGUGUGAAAAAUCAGGAUGGGAGUGGGGGUAAUAGGCACCUAUAUAAGAAAAAGCCCCAAAUGUUGGGACUGUCCCUAUAAAAUCGGGACAUCUGGUCACUCUAUCAGCAAGAGGGCCAUAUCUCAGCCUUUACUAAUCUGCUGGUCAUUGAAGCUCACAGCAACUUCUAAGCUGCUAAAUGCCAGGGAUGCAGAUGGCAGUCACAAAUAAAGCAUCUCACCUACAGAAAAUGUUUUUUUCACCCACAUUUUGGCUGCAGACCUAUUACGAAUGCUGCCUGGACGGUGUCUCGGUGUUUGUUUUGUUCUGCAACCAACAAAGCAGUCUGAGACAGGAAAAGAGGGCUGGGCUGGACAAGGGGAAGGGGCAGGUCUCCCACCAUCCUGGACCUGAUCUAAAGCCAACUGAAAUCAGUGAAACACUGUCACUGAUUUCCAAGGGGGUUGCAUUAGGCUCUUUGAGCUCUGUAAGGCCAAGGAAAGUCAGCAGGGAAAGACUGGGGAUAUGUGGCAACCAAGCGAACCCUUCUGAGCACUGCGUGUUCUCAUUUAGAUAAGAGCCUGUAGACUAGCCACUGAAGCAGUGGGGGUUGAGUUUCUAUGUCUCAGUGGCCUAGACAGGCUGAGGGAAGAAGGAGGAUGUGGCCUGGCCGCUAUACUCCACAGCUGGGCCUGAUUAGCAACCUGUAGAGAAACUUCCUGCAGCUCAGAUCUGGGGAAGGAGAAUUACUUGGGCUAUGUCUGUAGGGGGUAGGGAGGGGAACUGUUUUGCUGCAGCACAGAAGCUGAACCUUUCAUCACUUGACAUGCUUUGACCCAAUCCAUAAUGCCUAAUGGAAAUUCACCCAAUAGUAGAAAAAUCAGCAAAGUCAUACCAAUGUACCCUGACAUGAAUUAAAUGCAACAACAGCUCCUGCCAGAUCAAAGUUGAUCCACUGCUGGCUUCCCUUCUGCUGAAAACAACAAACCAACUCCUCACAAGUCGUGCUCACGCUGCUGUUUUGUAUGUCGGAAGGAAGUUUGCAGGUGCAAUUAGAAUUUUCUCCCAAUUCCCUAAUCCUUGCUGAGUGCCUUGUUUGGAGCACCCCCCAGGAUCAGGCUCUAAGAGCUCAGAACAAUCUACUAGUAUCAACAGGCUGAAUGCAACAAAACCAGUCCCACCAGAAUUCGUGUGCAAAGCUGAAUUUAUGCUUUGCCCUCCAGCUCAUUAACUUUUCCUGAACUUAAAUUACUUGAGACUGUUCCCUGAGAUACUAGAACAUUUAUAGACCUAUCCACCAUGAGCCGUAAAUACCAUAUUACAGCUCAGUUUGAUUCUAAACUGUGGCAUAACUCCCCUAUGCCUCUACCUCUGCUUUGAAAACAACUGAAGCUUGUCUGUUAUCCAAGUGUAUGUAUUUAACUGGUUUGUAGUAAGUCUAUAACAAUGAACGGCUUACACAACAGUAUAUAAAUUGAUUUCAAUCAUGUUUUAAUGUAAGUACUUUGUGAAUAUUUGUACAUUUUUAAGAACUAUCAUGCCAUUUGUUUCCUAACUCCCUUAUUGUUUCUGAAUAAUGCUAGUUCAAAAAUUAAAAUUGGAUUUUCAAGCUGAUUGUAAAUAUUUAAAAGAUCUGCUGAAAAGGGGCCAAAUCCUUGUAGGAUUUAGUGUGGUUAAUUGUUAAUUAAACAAAUCAGUAUUAAUAACUCACAACUAUUUUUUGAAAACUAGAUUUCAUUUAGGAUCGCCAAAAAUAUUACAAUUGGUUUUAUUUCAUUUUCACAGAAUUUUGAAAUAUACAGUUACUAAACAUAAGUAUGUGUGCUAGGUUCUCAACUAUUCUUGUCUUCUACAGAUCAUAAAUUAGCUGUGAAGAUGUAGUUCUAUUUUCCCUCAGGAAAGGCAAUUUCAUGAAAAAAAUCUAAAGCAUGGAUGAAAAGAUUCUAUAUUUAGAAUUACACUGAGGACUUACUAUGACCUUCAGAGAAUAGAAACUAAAAGGCUUAAUUUUUACAUACAAAAGAGCUGUUCCAUAAAAACUUAAAUUAAAAAAAGAAGUGUUUAGAACACCUGCUUUCCAUGCAUUUGCCUUUUUUAAACAAUUUUUUUUAAAAGUUAAGCUUGA